This 399-nucleotide ribosomal RNA is filed under the name Triticum aestivum (bread wheat). RNAcentral describes it as "partial small subunit ribosomal RNA". Lineage: Eukaryota; Viridiplantae; Streptophyta; Magnoliopsida; Poales; Poaceae. The record is from RNAcentral.
AUGACGGAUGGCAACUCCAAUUUCGAAUGGGAGGUACACCGCGUGAUCAACCUGGAUUAUCUCUGGGCGCAAUUUGGCUACAAAGCUCUGGGCUUACCUCGCUGUCUUCCCGAGUUCCCAAUCGUCAGCGUCGAUGACCCAGAUGUUCUGUGCUGCCUGUUGAGGAAGAAAGAUUUUGAAGGCAAGGCGUGGAUGAUCAUGGUUGACAUGAACCAUGCAUAUCUCCGGUCAUGUAUUCCAUAUAUCAAUCGACAGUCCUACUGUGCUAAGUGUGUGGACGCGGGCUGUGCCGAGUGUGUGAAGGACAAAAACAUGUUUCCUAAUAUGCCCCUACUUCCAACAGUCUUCUCCAAAUACCUUGAAAGGCCAAGAACAAGUGGCUACAAGAAGCUCUCUUAA